Molecule: ribosomal RNA, 309 nt
Filed under: uncultured eukaryote
Lineage: Eukaryota
Description: partial 18S ribosomal RNA
Rfam family: Eukaryotic small subunit ribosomal RNA
Source: RNAcentral
CCCUUAGAUGUUCUGGGCGGCCCGCGCACUACAUUGGCACUCUCAAUAAGUUCCUAGAUCUAAAACUUUGGGGUAUUCUAUUAAGUGGUGUCGUGACUGGGAUUAACCCUUGCAAUUAUUGGUUACGAACGAGGAAUUCCUUGUAAUCGCGGUUUAUCAGCCCGCGUUGAAUGCGUCCCUGCCCUUUGUACACACCGCCCGUCGCUCCUACCGAUGAAUCGUCCGGUGAAGUUCAUGGAGUGGUGGUUGUUCCAGCUGCUGUCGAAGUGAAAUGGACCUCUCGAUUUAGAGGAAGGAGAAGUCGUAACA